Sapajus apella (tufted capuchin) is the source of this 100-nucleotide long non-coding RNA. RefSeq lists it as uncharacterized. The transcript is spliced from 3 exons. The record is from RefSeq and is a predicted model, not a curated record. NCBI's taxonomy places the organism in Eukaryota, Metazoa, Chordata, Mammalia, Primates, Cebidae.
UGAUAUGGUUUGGCUGUGCCUCCACCCAAAUCUCAACUUGAAUUUUAUGUCCCAGAAUUCCCAUGCGUUGAGGGGGACCCAGGAAGAAGUAAUUGAUCCA